Molecule: ribosomal RNA, 490 nt
Filed under: uncultured bacterium
Lineage: Bacteria
Description: partial 16S ribosomal RNA
Rfam family: Bacterial small subunit ribosomal RNA
Source: RNAcentral
AUUGAACGCUGGCGGCAUGCUUUACACAUGCAAGUCGGACGGCAGCACAGAGAAGCUUGCUUCUUGGGUGGCGAGUGGCGAACGGGUGAGUAAUAUAUCGGAACGUACCGAGUAAUGGGGGAUAACUAAUCGAAAGAUUAGCUAAUACCGCAUAUUCUCUGAGGAGGAAAGCAGGGGACCUUCGGGCCUUGCGUUAUUCGAGCGUCCGAUAUCUGAUUAGCUAGUUGGUGGGGUAAAGGCCUACCAAGGCGACGAUCAGUAGCGGGUCUGAGAGGAUGAUCCGCCACACUGGGACUGAGACACGGCCCAGACUCCUACGGGAGGCAGCAGUGGGGAAUUUUGGACAAUGGGCGCAAGCCUGAUCCAGCCAUGCCGCGUGUCUGAAGAAGGCCUUCGGGUUGUAAAGGACUUUUGUCAGGGAAGAAAAGGCUGUUGCUAAUACCGACAGCUGAUGACGGUACCUGAAGAAUAAGCACCGGCUAACUACGUG